GGGGGUAUAGCUCAGUGCAUAGAGCACAUGCUUAGCACGCACAAGGUCCCAGGUUCAAUCCCCAGUACCUCCA
Molecule: transfer RNA, 73 nt
Filed under: Camelus bactrianus (Bactrian camel)
Lineage: Eukaryota; Metazoa; Chordata; Mammalia; Artiodactyla; Camelidae
Also listed under: 2 other names
Rfam family: tRNA
About the family: Transfer RNA (tRNA) molecules are approximately 80 nucleotides in length. Their secondary structure includes four short double-helical elements and three loops (D, anti-codon, and T loops).
Source: Rfam by way of RNAcentral